UGCCAGCCGCCGCGGUAAUACGGGGGAUGCAAGCGUUAUCCGGAAUCAUUGGGUUUAAAGGGUCCGUAGGCGGGAAUCUAAGUCAGUGGUGAAAUCUUGCAGCUCAACUGUAAAAUUGCCAUUGAUACUGGAUUUCUUGAAUUAGUGUGAAGUGGUUAGAAUGUGUAGUGUAGCGGUGAAAUGCAUAGAUAUUACACAGAAUACCAAUUGCGAAGGCAGAUCACUAACACUAUAUUGACGGUGAGGGAUGAAAGCUGGGGGAGCAAACCGGAUUAGAUA
RNAcentral lists this ribosomal RNA (279 nucleotides) under uncultured bacterium. Its description in RNAcentral is "partial 16S ribosomal RNA". It matches the Rfam family "Bacterial small subunit ribosomal RNA", at positions 506 to 784 of the family's 1533-position model. The record is from RNAcentral.